CUACACAUGCAGUCGAGCGGUAGCACAGGGAGCUUGCUCCUGGGUGACGAGCGGCGGACGGGUGAGUAAUGUCUGGGAAACUGCCUGAUGGAGGGGGAUAACUACUGGAAACGGUAGCUAAUACCGCAUAAUGUCUACGGACCAAAAGUGGGGGACCUUCGGGGCCUCAUGCCAUCAGAUGUGCCCAGAUGGGAUUAGCUAGUAGGUGGGGUAAUGGCUCACCUAGGCGACGAUCCCUAGCUGGUCUGAGAGGAUGACCAGCCACACUGGAACUGAGACACGGUCCAGACUCCUACGGGAGGCAGCAGUGGGGAAUAUUGCACAAUGGGCGCAAGCCUGAUGCAGCCAUGCCGCGUGUGUGAAGAAGGCCUUCGGGUUGUAAAGCACUUUCAGCGAGGAGGAAGGGUUCAGUGUUAAUAGCACUGUGCAUUGACGUUACUCGCAGAAGAAGCACCGGCUAACUCCGUGCCAGCAGCCGCGGUAAUACGGAGGGUGCAAGCGUUAAUCGGAAUUACUGGGCGUAAAGCGCACGCAGGCGGUUUGUUAAGUCAGAUGUGAAAUCCCCGCGCUUAACGUGGGAACUGCAUUUGAAACUGGCAAGCUAGAGUCUUGUAGAGGGGGGUAGAAUUCCAGGUGUAGCGGUGAAAUGCGUAGAGAUCUGGAGGAAUACCGGUGGCGAACGCGGCCCCCUGGACAAAGACUGACGCUCAGGUGCGAAAGCGUGGGGAGCAAACAUGGAUUAGAUACCCUGGUACUCCACGCUGUGACAAUCGAUCUCGACACGGAGGUUGUGCCCUUGAGGCGUGGCUUCCGGAGCUAACGCGUUAAGUCGACCGCCUGGGGAGUACGGCCGCAAGGUUAAAACUCAAAUGAAUUGACGGGGGCCCGCACAAGCGGUGGAGCAUGUGGUUUAAUUCGAUGCAACGCGAAGAACCUUACCUACUCUUGACAUCCAGAGAAUUCGCUAGAGAUAGCUUAGUGCCUUCGGGAACUCUGAGACAGGUGCUGCAUGGCUGUCGUCAGC
This 1024-nucleotide ribosomal RNA is filed under the name Serratia grimesii. RNAcentral describes it as "bacterial SSU rRNA". It matches the Rfam family "Bacterial small subunit ribosomal RNA", at positions 49 to 1059 of the family's 1533-position model. The record is from RNAcentral. Lineage: Bacteria; Pseudomonadati; Pseudomonadota; Gammaproteobacteria; Enterobacterales; Yersiniaceae.